RNAcentral lists this ribosomal RNA (267 nucleotides) under uncultured bacterium. RNAcentral describes it as "partial 16S ribosomal RNA". It matches the Rfam family "Bacterial small subunit ribosomal RNA", at positions 86 to 354 of the family's 1533-position model. The record is from RNAcentral.
CGUGCAUGAGUGGCGGACGGGUGAGUAACGCGUGGGCAACCUGGCCUGUACAGGGGGAUAACACUUAGAAAUAGGUGCUAAUACCGCAUAACGGGGGAAGCCGCAUGGCUUUUCCCUGAAAACUCCGGUGGUACAGGAUGGGCCCGCGUCUGAUUAGCCAGUUGGCGGGGUAACGGCCUACCAAAGCGACGAUCAGUAGCCGGCCUGAGAGGGCGGACGGCCACACUGGGACUGAGACACGGCCCAGACUCCUACGGGAGGCAGCAG